Long non-coding RNA from Cydia pomonella (codling moth), 2475 nucleotides. RefSeq lists it as uncharacterized. The transcript is spliced from 2 exons. The record is from RefSeq and is a predicted model, not a curated record. Lineage: Eukaryota; Metazoa; Arthropoda; Insecta; Lepidoptera; Tortricidae.
AUAUGAAAUACAAAUAAAGAAAUUUAUUUCGUUCGAGGGUAAAACAUUUUCCCGACGUUUACUAAAAACAAGCUCCUUGUAUAUCUCAUCAAGGGACCGUCCUCUAGUCUCUGGGAAAAAGAUGAUGCAGAACAAACAGGAUCCGAAACAGAUGAGCGCGAAGAUUAGGAAGGUGAACUGGAUGCCAAUGGCUUGGUUGAGGGCGUGGAAGCCCUUGACUUGGAUGAAGUUGGCACCUUUGCCGCACACGUUGAUGAAGGCCGAUACUUGACCCCGAAGCUGGAAAAAAGUCAAUAGUGCAUUUUUAUACAAGUGUGGAAAGUAAAAUUUUGUUUAUAUAACACUUAAAACCGUGUUUUUAACACAUAUUUAAACCAGGUCUAUCGUUUAUUUAUUUUAUUACCUUUAUUUACUACGUUUCGAUGCAUGCAAGCUUCACUGGUCGUGAUAGGUAGGUAGUGGAGAACUAUCGUCACAACAAAAAGCCAAAAUAGAGAUUUGUGUACCUACCCGAAAAAAAUCAAAUCAAAAAGUAGGCAUCACAAUUUCAAACCACCCACCACACAAGUUAAUUAUUGUCCAUAGUCCAACACACAAUAUUCACUACCUGCGCACACACAUCCGAAGAUAGAUCUCUUGGCUUUAUGUUAUGGAUCACUGGUUCCCAAGUUGGCAAAAAGGUACAUCUUUCUUAUUAAAAUGACAGGGGUGUUUACUGAUUUCAAUCGCUUCUCGCACAACUCGAGAGUAAUAAAGUUGUUCAGUGGAUUUUGGGCUUAUGAAGUUGAACCCAGUGAUUUGCGCCAGGUGUCAGAAGAUAGACCUGGUUUAAAUAUGUUUCAAUAAAAUGUUUGUUUGUUUUGAUGUUUUACAAUGACACAAACAUGUGCUAGCUAACAUAUUGAUAAUAUCUAAAUAUAUCAAGCACUGUGGCGAGCCUGUGUCAGUCUGUAUUUCAUUUUUUCAACUGCGCUCAGAUAAUAAUAUUAUGAUGUACCUAUGUACUUUUAAGUAUAAGUACUUAAAAUUGUUAUACAAGCGUUUUUCACACUGUGUAAAUGGAGUAUUGUAAGUAUAGUAAGUGCCCCAACUUAAGAACCUAUGUAACCACGUCGCCAUACUACUAACUGUAAAGAAAAAUGGAUACUAACGGUAGGACACCGACUGUACUAUUUUUGAUUACGAGUAUGUGCACCACAACACAAGAGCAACAACAAAUCCUUCUUGUUCCAUAUGAGGUAUUUCAAAACAGACGAAAAAACCCAAAUCAAGCCUCAUCGGCAAUUUAUGGUACUUUAGAAGGAAAAACAUACAAAAAAGUGGUGUUAUAUGGUGGUCUUUUCUGAGGCCGUUGCCCUAUAAAGGGUUAACUUUAUAGUUUUCCGCAGAAGACCAUCGCAUCAGGCUUGUCUGCGCAAGCACGCACCGAUUACUAUUAUCCAAUAAAAUGAAAAAGAAUUGCCUUGUUGCUGUGUAGAGUGCGGGCCAGCUCCCACCUCAUUCUGUCUACAGAGGGCUUACAGCGAAAGACGAAAAAUCAAAAUUUCGCUGUCUGCCUCUCUAUCGCUCUUACAUAUUCUAGUGAUAGAGAUGCAAAUAAAGAAAUUGCGCAUAUCGUUAUUUUGCAGUGGGCUCUCUGUUAUGUAGCGAGCCGAUAAUGCCGCAUUUUGCCUGUGUGAUUAUUUUUCUGUACCAUUCGCUUUCUGUUUCUGUUCCACUAACGGCCCGAUUCGAAUAAUGAGAUACGAUAAAGAUAAGUUCUGGUUUAUAUAAGUUCUCAUUUAGAUAUCGUUUAUAUGUCGUAUAAUUGACAAAAGCAGCUCGAUUCGGGCAACCAAUGUCACUUUGACAUCAGAAAUAUCGUAGAUAGAUCUUAGCGGAAUCUAAAUAAAGGUCAAUUUUGACAUGUCGUUUAGUUAUCGAUCUUUUAAAGAUAUUUCCAAGAUCUUAAACUUGUCUUAAUCAUUCUUCGGAUCGGGCCGUAAUACUUAGUUCUAUAGCCCGACCGGAAAUAUUUGAUCAUUGUCAAGAGGGCACUGUUGUGUCUCAUGUAUAGGGUGACAGUUCAGUUUAAUAUGAAAAUUUUUGGUCCAAUGAAAUUCCGCAAUAUGGCGCGUGAUCAUAUAUUACCGGUCAGGUUUUAAAUCUUAAAUGUAACUAACCAUUAUGGGUCAUUGUUUUAAGAAUAAAUGAAUUAAAAUUGAAUUUAUUCCUGGCAUCACUGGUCAGUUAACGUUGCAUUAGUACUAAACUUACAUGGAAUGUAAACAUGUCCGUAAUAACAAUGUAGGAGACGGGUUGAAAGCCAGCAGCGUCAGAGAUGAUGGCGAGGCACAGCGCCAGCACCGGGAUCCAGCCAGGCAGACUCCAACCUGAUGCCGUCAGGUAGAACCAGAUGGACAGUAUGCCCAUGCCCACGCCCAUUGUGAAUGAUGUGCCGACAAGCAGUUUCUGAAAUAUAGGAUUUCAAAAAUU